RNAcentral lists this non-coding RNA (30 nucleotides) under Rattus norvegicus (Norway rat). The record is from RNAcentral. Lineage: Eukaryota; Metazoa; Chordata; Mammalia; Rodentia; Muridae.
GACAUUGGAAAGUCUCCUUUUGAGGUCAAG